This 523-nucleotide ribosomal RNA is filed under the name Bacillus licheniformis. RNAcentral's name for it is "bacterial SSU rRNA". It matches the Rfam family "Bacterial small subunit ribosomal RNA", at positions 51 to 555 of the family's 1533-position model. Lineage: Bacteria; Bacillati; Bacillota; Bacilli; Caryophanales; Bacillaceae. The record is from RNAcentral.
AUACAUGCAAGUCGAGCGGACAGAUGGGAGCUUGCUCCCUGAUGUUAGCGGCGGACGGGUGAGUAACACGUGGGUAACCUGCCUGUAAGACUGGGAUAACUCCGGGAAACCGGGGCUAAUACCGGAUGCUUGAUUGAACCGCAUGGUUCAAUUAUAAAAGGUGGCUUUUAGCUACCACUUACAGAUGGACCCGCGGCGCAUUAGCUAGUUGGUGAGGUAACGGCUCACCAAGGCAACGAUGCGUAGCCGACCUGAGAGGGUGAUCGGCCACACUGGGACUGAGACACGGCCCAGACUCCUACGGGAGGCAGCAGUAGGGAAUCUUCCGCAAUGGACGAAAGUCUGACGGAGCAACGCCGCGUGAGUGAUGAAGGUUUUCGGAUCGUAAAACUCUGUUGUUAGGGAAGAACAAGUACCGUUCGAAUAGGGCGGUACCUUGACGGUACCUAACCAGAAAGCCACGGCUAACUACGUGCCAGCAGCCGCGGUAAUACGUAGGUGGCAAGCGUUGUCCGGAAUUAUU